CCUGGGCCUUGGGGAGUCUACACAGCUUUCUUCCUCUCCCCAGACACUUCCAAAGUAAAAACCUGAAACAGUACAACUAAGGAAUCAUCAGCUAUCAGACACAUACGUAUUCAGCCACUAUUUAUUGAGCACCUACUAUGUGCCAGGCUGGUGACCAAGGAGAGACAUGGUCCCUGCUCUCGAAGGCUUGCAGUCCAUUGGAAGAUGUCAACACCCCUCCAUCCCCCCCAGGUCAGGGCUCUGGCAGAAAGAUGCCUGACCCAGCUGGAAGGAGGUGAGAGAGGACAGAGGGAACGGCGAGGGCAAAGGCUCUUGGCGGAAGGCAGCAAGGGAAGUGGGGGGCCCUCGGUGUGGUGGGGCAAAAUGAGAAUCAGACGGGAGCCCAGGGUGAGGCCCUGCAGGUCCCCAGGGGUUCUGAGUCGCUCCCUGACAGCUUAACGGGAAGGGCAGCCCUCCCCACAGUCACAGAAGUGCACGAUUCCCAGUCCACGCCCCUUUCUGGUCUGUGUGCCUUCUAGAACACUGGACACUGUGGGGGCCCAGGGCUGGGUGGAUGGACAGAUGCUGCUGCUCGCGGCCAUUCAGGCAGGGCCUGCAAGGAAGGGCUGUGCAUCCUAAUGAGCCUGCCCCACCUGUCCUCUCUCUGCAGUCUCCGAAGAGGAGCAGAUGGGGCUGUGGGCAGGUGGGGCUUAGCUCCCACUUGAAUCCCUAGGGGUGGUCAAGGACUCUGAGCAGCCACUCAGUCCCGGGGGGAGGGGGGUGCUGCCCACUCCCCAUCAGCUCCCCGCUGAGGGCUGAGGCAGGGCCCAAAGGCUCUCACAGCCAAAAGAAGAGUCCUGACCCAGUGCCCAAGGACCCCACCCCCAGGGACCCGGGCUUCCUGUGCAGCCUCCUCGGAGAGGGAGGAAGAAGUGCCCUCACACUGUCCUCUGUCUCUCUCGGCCACCCCGGAGGCCCAGGAGGCCAGCCUCCAUCCUCAAGCGGGCCCAGUCCCAGCACCCACAUCCUUGCCUCAGGGAGCGCCUGGCCUGAUGGCAACGCAGGACGCGUGACCCGGCACCCUCUCCGCCCACACUGCCCUCUUCCCCAGGGCAGCCCUUGUUCUGGCCCUGAGCAGGGUCCAGGGUGGGAGAGGCUGACCCAGAACAGAGGCUGCAGGAGCCAAGUCCAAGAGGCUGCAUAAAAUCACUGCCAUCGACAGAGGCCUACUGCACGCUAGUGCUGGGCCACCGUGGAGUCUUGAAGCCUGCAAGGAGGGAAGAAAGUGAAGCCCAGAGAGGUUAAGUGAUGUGUCCAAGGCCACACAGAGGGUGAGUGGACCACGUGACCUCGGCUUAAGAUCACCCACACCCUCUGCUGGGGAACCCAAAAGGUUCAGCUAAACGGCCGCAUUAGGUUUGCCCCU
This 1405-nucleotide long non-coding RNA is filed under the name Dasypus novemcinctus (nine-banded armadillo). Its description in RNAcentral is "lncRNA (ENSDNOG00000051871.1)". Lineage: Eukaryota; Metazoa; Chordata; Mammalia; Cingulata; Dasypodidae. The record is from RNAcentral.